Molecule: ribosomal RNA, 390 nt
Filed under: uncultured bacterium
Lineage: Bacteria
Description: bacterial SSU rRNA
Rfam family: Bacterial small subunit ribosomal RNA
Source: RNAcentral
GACGAACGCUGGCGGCGUGCUUAACACAUGCAAGUCGAGCGGUAAGGCCCUUUCGGGGGUACACGAGCGGCGAACGGGUGAGUAACACGUGGGUGACCUGCCCUCAGCUCUGGGAUAAGCCUGGGAAACCGGGUCUAAUACUGGAUAUGACUCCAUGACGCAUGUUGUGGGGUGGAAAGCCUUGUGCGGCUGAGGAUGGGCCCGCGGCCUAUCAGCUUGUUGGUGGGGUGAGGCCUACCAAGGCGACGACGGGUAGCCGGCCUGAGAGGGCGACCGGCCACCCAUGGGACUGAGACACGGCCCAGACUCCUACGGGAGGCAGCAGUGGGGAAUCUUGCGCAAUGGGCGAAAGCCUGACGCAGCGACGCCGCGUGAGGGAUGACGGCCUGG